GGCGCCAUUGUCUAGUGGUUAGGACAUCAGGUUUUCAUCCUGGUAACAGGGGUUCGAUUCCCCUUGGCGCUACCA
Molecule: transfer RNA, 75 nt
Filed under: Candidatus Moranbacteria bacterium CG_4_9_14_3_um_filter_33_15
Lineage: Bacteria; Candidatus Moraniibacteriota
Description: tRNA-Glu
Rfam family: tRNA
About the family: Transfer RNA (tRNA) molecules are approximately 80 nucleotides in length. Their secondary structure includes four short double-helical elements and three loops (D, anti-codon, and T loops). Further hydrogen bonds mediate the characteristic L-shaped molecular structure. tRNAs have two regions of fundamental functional importance: the anti-codon, which is responsible for specific mRNA codon recognition, and the 3' end, to which the tRNAs corresponding amino acid is attached (by aminoacyl-tRNA synthetases). tRNAs cope with the degeneracy of the genetic code in two manners: having more than one tRNA (with a specific anti-codon) for a particular amino acid; and 'wobble' base-pairing, i.e. permitting non-standard base-pairing at the 3rd anti-codon position.
Source: RNAcentral